CCUACGGGUGGCAGCAGUGAGGAAUAUUGGUCAAUGGGCGCGAGCCUGAACCAGCCAAGUAGCGUGAAGGAUGACUGCCCUACGGGUUGUAAACUUCUUUUAUAAAGGCAUAAAGUGAGGCACGUGUGCCUUUUUGUCUGUACUUUAUGAAUAAGGAUCGGCUAACUCCGUGCCAGCAGCCGCGGUAAUACGGAGGAUCCGAGCGUUAUCCGGAUUUAUUGGGUUUAAUGUGAGAGUAGAUGGGUUGUUAAGUCAGUUGUGAAAGUGUGCGGCUCAACCGUAAAAUUGCAAUUGAUACUGGCAGCCUUGAGUACAGUUGAGGUAGGCGGAAUGCGUGGGGUAGCGGUGAAAUGCUUAGAUAUCACGAAGAACUCCGAUUGCGAAGGCAGCCUACUAAACUGCCACUGACAUUGAUGCUCGAAAGUGUGGGUAUCAAACAGGAGUAGAUACCCCGGUAGUC
RNAcentral lists this ribosomal RNA (460 nucleotides) under uncultured bacterium. RNAcentral describes it as "partial 16S ribosomal RNA". It matches the Rfam family "Bacterial small subunit ribosomal RNA", at positions 338 to 795 of the family's 1533-position model. The record is from RNAcentral.